UUAAGCGACUAAGCGUACACGGUGGAUGCCCUGGCAGUCAGAGGCGAUGAAGGACGUGCUAAUCUGCGAUAAGCGUCGGUAAGGUGAUAUGAACCGUUAUAACCGGCGAUUUCCGAAUGGGGAAACCCAGUGUGWUUCGWCACACUAUCAUUAACUGAAUCCAUAGGUUAAUGAGGCGAACCGGGGGAACUGAAACAUCUAAGUACCCCGAGGAAAAGAAAUCAACCGAGAUUCCCCCAGUAGCGGCGAGCGAACGGGGAGCAGCCCAGAGCCUGAAUCAGUGUGUGUGUUAGUGGAAGCGUCUGGAAAGGCGCGCGAUACAGGGUGACAGCCCCGUACACAAAAAUGCACAUGCUGUGAGCUCGAUGAGUAGGGCGGGACACGUGGUAUCCUGUCUGAAUAUGGGGGGACCAUCCUCCAAGGCUAAAUACUCCUGACUGACCGAUAGUGAACCAGUACCGUGAGGGAAAGGCGAAAAGAACCCCGGCGAGGGGAGUGAAAAAGAACCUGAAACCGUGUACGUACAAGCAGUGGGAGCACGCUUAGGCGUGUGACUGCGUACCUUUUGUAUAAUGGGUCAGCGACUUAUAUUCUGUAGCAAGGUUAACCGAAUAGGGGAGCCGAAGGGAAACCGAGUCUUAACUGGGCGUUAAGUUGCAGGGUAUAGACCCGAAACCCGGUGAUCUAGCCAUGGGCAGGUUGAAGGUUGGGUAACACUAACUGGAGGACCGAACCGACUAAUGUUGAAAAAUUAGCGGAUGACUUGUGGCUGGGGGUGAAAGGCCAAUCAAACCGGGAGAUAGCUGGUUCUCCCCGAAAGCUAUUUAGGUAGCGCCUCGUGAAUUCAUCUCCGGGGGUAGAGCACUGUUUCGGCAAGGGGGUCAUCCCGACUUACCAACCCGAUGCAAACUGCGAAUACCGGAGAAUGUUAUCACGGGAGACACACGGCGGGUGCUAACGUCCGUCGUGAAGAGGGAAACAACCCAGACCGCCAGCUAAGGUCCCAAAGUCAUGGUUAAGUGGGAAACGAUGUGGGAAGGCCCAGACAGCCAGGAUGUUGGCUUAGAAGCAGCCAUCAUUUAAAGAAAGCGUAAUAGCUCACUGGUCGAGUCGGCCUGCGCGGAAGAUGUAACGGGGCUAAACCAUGCACCGAAGCUGCGGCAGCGACACUAUGUGUUGUUGGGUAGGGGAGCGUUCUGUAAGCCUGUGAAGGUGUACUGUGAGGUAUGCUGGAGGUAUCAGAAGUGCGAAUGCUGACAUAAGUAACGAUAAAGCGGGUGAAAAGCCCGCUCGCCGGAAGACCAAGGGUUCCUGUCCAACGUUAAUCGGGGCAGGGUGAGUCGACCCCUAAGGCGAGGCCGAAAGGCGUAGUCGAUGGGAAACAGGUUAAUAUUCCUGUACUUGGUGUUACUGCGAAGGGGGGACGGAGAAGGCUAUGUUGGCCGGGCGACGGUUGUCCCGGUUUAAGCGUGUAGGCUGGUUUUCCAGGCAAAUCCGGAAAAUCAAGGCUGAGGCGUGAUGACGAGGCACUACGGUGCUGAAGCAACAAAUGCCCUGCUUCCAGGAAAAGCCUCUAAGCAUCAGGUAACAUCAAAUCGUACCCCAAACCGACACAGGUGGUCAGGUAGAGAAUACCAAGGCGCUUGAGAGAACUCGGGUGAAGGAACUAGGCAAAAUGGUGCCGUAACUUCGGGAGAAGGCACGCUGAUAYGUAGGUGAAGUCCCUCGCGGAUGGAGCUGAAAUCAGUCGAAGAUACCAGCUGGCUGCAACUGUUUAUUAAAAACACAGCACUGUGCAAACACGAAAGUGGACGUAUACGGUGUGACGCCUGCCCGGUGCCGGAAGGUUAAUUGAUGGGGUYAGCGCAAGCGAAGCUCUUGAUCGAAGCCCCGGUAAACGGCGGCCGUAACUAUAACGGUCCUAAGGUAGCGAAAUUCCUUGUCGGGUAAGUUCCGACCUGCACGAAUGGCGUAAUGAUGGCCAGGCUGUCUCCACCCGAGACUCAGUGAAAUUGAACUCGCUGUGAAGAUGCAGUGUACCCGCGGCAAGACGGAAAGACCCCGUGAACCUUUACUAUAGCUUGACACUGAACAUUGAGCCUUGAUGUGUAGGAUAGGUGGGAGGCUUUGAAGUGUGGACGCCAGUCUGCAUGGAGCCGACCUUGAAAUACCACCCUUUAAUGUUUGAUGUUCUAACGUKGACCCGURAUCCGGGUUGCGGACAGUGUCUGGUGGGUAGUUUGACUGGGGCGGUCUCCUCCUAAAGAGUAACGGAGGAGCACGAAGGUUGGCUAAUCCUGGUCGGACAUCAGGAGGUUAGUGCAAUGGCAUAAGCCAGCUUGACUGCGAGCGUGACGGCGCGAGCAGGUGCGAAAGCAGGUCAUAGUGAUCCGGUGGUUCUGAAUGGAAGGGCCAUCGCUCAACGGAUAAAAGGUACUCCGGGGAUAACAGGCUGAUACCGCCCAAGAGUUCAUAUCGACGGCGGUGUUUGGCACCUCGAUGUCGGCUCAUCACAUCCUGGGGCUGAAGUAGGUCCCAAGGGUAUGGCUGUUCGCCAUUUAAAGUGGUACGCGAGCUGGGUUUAGAACGUCGUGAGACAGUUCGGUCCCUAUCUGCCGUGGGCGCUGGAGAACUGAGGGGGGCUGCUCCUAGUACGAGAGGACCGGAGUGGACGCAUCACUGGUGUUCGGGUUGUCAUGCCAAUGGCACUGCCCGGUAGCUAAAUGCGGAAGAGAUAAGUGCUGAAAGCAUCUAAGCACGAAACUUGCCCCGAGAUGAGUUCUCCCUGAC
RNAcentral lists this ribosomal RNA (2790 nucleotides) under Escherichia coli. RNAcentral's name for it is "bacterial LSU rRNA". Lineage: Bacteria; Pseudomonadati; Pseudomonadota; Gammaproteobacteria; Enterobacterales; Enterobacteriaceae. The record is from RNAcentral.